UACGAAGGGGGGCUAGCGUUGCUCGGAAUCACUGGGCGUAAAGGGCGCGUAGGCGGUGCCACAAGUCACCUGUGAAAUCUCCGGGCUUAACUCGGAGCCUGCAGGCGAAACUGUGGUGCUGGAGUGUGGGAGAGGUGCGUGGAAUUCCCGGUGUAGCGGUGAAAUGCGCAGAUAAUCAGGAGGAACACCGGUGGCGAAGGCGGCACUCUGGGCCGGUACUGACGCUGAGGAGCGAAAGCGUGGGGAGCGAACAGG
This 255-nucleotide ribosomal RNA is filed under the name uncultured bacterium. RNAcentral describes it as "partial 16S ribosomal RNA". It matches the Rfam family "Bacterial small subunit ribosomal RNA", at positions 524 to 776 of the family's 1533-position model. The record is from RNAcentral.